UCGAGAAUUUUUCUCAAUGGGCGAAAGCCUGAAGGAGCGACGCCGCGUGGAGGAUGAAGGCCUUCGGGUUGUAAACUCCUGUCAUUUGGGAACAAAAUUUCCGCUUAACUGGCGGGGACUUGAUAGUACCAGAAGAGGAAGAGACGGCUAACUCUGUGCCAGCAGCCGCGGUAAUACAGAGGUCUCAACCGUUGUUCGGAUUCAUUGGGCGUAAAGGGUGCGUAGGCGGUCGCGCAAGUCGGAUGUGAAAUCUCAGGGCUCAACCCUGAAACUGCACUCGAUACUGCGUGGCUAGAGUACUGGAGAGGAGACUGGAAUUUACGGUGUAGCAGUGAAAUGCGUAGAUAUCGUAAGGAAGACCAGUGGCGAAGGCGAGUCUCUGGACAGUUACUGACGCUGAGGCACGAAGGCCAGGGGAGCAAACGGG
This 427-nucleotide ribosomal RNA is filed under the name uncultured bacterium. RNAcentral describes it as "bacterial SSU rRNA". It matches the Rfam family "Bacterial small subunit ribosomal RNA", at positions 355 to 776 of the family's 1533-position model. The record is from RNAcentral.